UCCUCAAUAGCUCAGUUGGUUAGAGCACCUGACUGUUAAUCAGGGGGUCCCAGGUUCAAGUCCUGGUUGAGGAGCCG
RNAcentral lists this transfer RNA (77 nucleotides) under Alistipes sp. CAG:157. RNAcentral's name for it is "transfer RNA-Asn(GTT)". It matches the Rfam family "tRNA". Rfam says of the family: Transfer RNA (tRNA) molecules are approximately 80 nucleotides in length. Their secondary structure includes four short double-helical elements and three loops (D, anti-codon, and T loops). Further hydrogen bonds mediate the characteristic L-shaped molecular structure. tRNAs have two regions of fundamental functional importance: the anti-codon, which is responsible for specific mRNA codon recognition, and the 3' end, to which the tRNAs corresponding amino acid is attached (by aminoacyl-tRNA synthetases). tRNAs cope with the degeneracy of the genetic code in two manners: having more than one tRNA (with a specific anti-codon) for a particular amino acid; and 'wobble' base-pairing, i.e. permitting non-standard base-pairing at the 3rd anti-codon position. Lineage: Bacteria; Pseudomonadati; Bacteroidota; Bacteroidia; Bacteroidales; Rikenellaceae. The record is from RNAcentral. RNAcentral also lists the same sequence under 3 other names.